UUGAAUUCAGCCUUGAUGGGUUGUCGCUGGCUCUAAAUCUGAGCAUGUGCACGCCUGUCUUGACUUCUAUUCAUCCACCUGUGCACUUUUGUAGUCUUUUUGGGGGCUGGGGAAGCUGGCGGCUCAGGCUGUCAUGUCGGAACCUCCCACUGGGGGCUAUGUUUUUAUACACAUACCAUUUAAAAUGUAACAGAAUGUUGUCAAUGGGCACUCGUGGCCUAUACGAAAAAACUAUA
RNAcentral lists this unclassified non-coding RNA (236 nucleotides) under uncultured Micropsalliota. Its description in RNAcentral is "sequence contains ITS1". The record is from RNAcentral. Lineage: Eukaryota; Fungi; Basidiomycota; Agaricomycetes; Agaricales; Agaricaceae.